UNGGCGGCGUGGAUAAGACAUGCAAGUCGAACGAGAGAAUUGCUAGCUUGCUAAUAAUUCUCUAGUGGCGCACGGGUGAGUAACACGUGAGUAACCUGCCCCCGAGAGCGGGAUAGCCCUGGGAAACUGGGAUUAAUACCGCAUAGUAUCGAAAGAUUAAAGCAGCAAUGCGCUUGGGGAUGGGCUCGCGGCCUAUUAGUUAGUUGGUGAGGUAACGGCUCACCAAGGCGAUGACGGGUAGCCGGUCUGAGAGGAUGUCCGGCCACACUGGAACUGAGACACGGUCCAGACACCUACGGGUGGCAGCAGUCGAGAAUCAUUCACAAUGGGGGAAACCCUGAUGGUGCGACGCCGCGUGGGGGAAUGAAGGUCUUCGGAUUGUAAACCCCUGUCAUGUGGGAGCAAAUUAAAAAGAUAGUACCACAAGAGGAAGAGACGGCUAACUCUGUGCCAGCAGCCGCGGUAAUACAGAGGUCUCAAGCGUUGUUCGGAAUCACUGGGCGUAAAGCGUGCGUAGGCUGUUUCGUAAGUCGUGUGUGAAAGGCGCGGGCUCAACCCGCGGACGGCACAUGAUACUGCGAGACUAGAGUAAUGGAGGGGGAACCGGAAUUCACGGUGUAGCAAAUCACUAGUGAAUUC
Molecule: ribosomal RNA, 639 nt
Filed under: uncultured Akkermansia sp.
Lineage: Bacteria; Pseudomonadati; Verrucomicrobiota; Verrucomicrobiia; Verrucomicrobiales; Akkermansiaceae
Description: bacterial SSU rRNA
Rfam family: Bacterial small subunit ribosomal RNA
Source: RNAcentral